UGGCUAUAAACCCCGUCGUGUGCGACCCUCUCCUCGAGCCCUUCUUUAAGUGCAUCGGCCAGCGCAACGGAUACUACACCAGCGAAGGAAAGUUUGACUUGGAAGGCUUCAAAGGGAACUUCUUGCAGCACCAAUGCGACCCUGACCCAACGUUCGAUGCCGCCACGAAAGAGUGUAAACCACCACCUGAGGGACGCUACAACAUCAUUUUCUACUACCUCUGCCUGCGCAGUAAGGUUAUACCUGAAUAAGCAAGGUUGUAACGAUGAUGGUUGUGGUAACCAACGAUGGUUUUAACAACGAUGGUUAAACUAUUCCCGGUAUGACAAUGAUUAAAAAUGACUACAACAAUGAUGACAACGAUGAUUGUAAGAAUGGCUACAAUAAUGAUUAUGACAAUGGCUACAACGAUGAUUAUAAAAAGUCCUGAUUUGGGCAGCAACUAUACAAGCUAAGGCAAGAGUUAGCAAACCGUAUUCAAUUUCUAGAUCAACUAUUUUCGAGGUUUUUUCUACAUCAUUUGUGGUUUUUAAUAUUCAUAAGAUUUCUGUUGUCUUUCCUAUAGCGUUGUUUAUUGUUCGAAAUGUUUUCCGUGUAAUGGAAGAUUAUAAUUUUCAAUGGCAAUAAAGAUUGUCCUCAGUCAACAAUAUACAUCUUGGUUUUAAUUUUGUCAUGUAAAGUUUUCUCUAACAUCACUGUAACACAACUUGAAUUUAUCCAAGUUAUAUUAAUUAACUCAUAGAUUCGGAAUUUCGUUCCAUUAUCACAGUAUAAAAGAGAUUAAUGAUCGUUCACAAUAGCAAAAAUUGCAUGACUUUAAUUUUAUAUUGAAGAUAAGAUCUGUAAAACUGGGGACAAUAUACGGACAUAUAUAGUAGCAAUAGUUGCCUGCAGCAGCAUUCUCAACGUUAACUUAGGAAUCCGCAUAAAUGUUUUAGAGUUCGAAUUAAUAAAUUG
Molecule: long non-coding RNA, 957 nt
Organism: Hyalella azteca
Lineage: Eukaryota; Metazoa; Arthropoda; Malacostraca; Amphipoda; Hyalellidae
Exons: 3
Source: RefSeq, a predicted model, not a curated record